RNAcentral lists this ribosomal RNA (254 nucleotides) under uncultured bacterium. RNAcentral describes it as "partial 16S ribosomal RNA". It matches the Rfam family "Bacterial small subunit ribosomal RNA", at positions 524 to 776 of the family's 1533-position model. The record is from RNAcentral.
UACGUAGGGGGCUAGCGUUGUCCGGAUUUAUUGGGCGUAAAGAGCUCGUAGGUGGUUCGGUAAGUCGGAUGUGAAAUCUCCAGGCUCAACCUGGAGGGGUCAUUCGAUACUGCCGUGACUAGAGUUCGGUAGAGGAGUGUGGAAUUCCAGGUGUAGCGGUGAAAUGCGUAGAUAUCUGGAGGAACACCGGUGGCGAAGGCGGCAUCCUGGACCGGUAUUGACGCUGAGGAGCGAAAGCCAGGGGAGCAAACGGG